This 1162-nucleotide ribosomal RNA is filed under the name Escherichia coli. RNAcentral's name for it is "partial 23S ribosomal RNA". It matches the Rfam family "Bacterial large subunit ribosomal RNA", at positions 582 to 1746 of the family's 2925-position model. Lineage: Bacteria; Pseudomonadati; Pseudomonadota; Gammaproteobacteria; Enterobacterales; Enterobacteriaceae. The record is from RNAcentral.
GAGCAAUCUGUGUGACUGCGUACCUUUUGUAUAAUGGGUCAGCGACUUAUAUUCUGUAGCAAGGUUAACCGAAUAGGGGAGCCGAAGGGAAACCGAGUCUUAACUGGGCGUUAAGUUGCAGGGUAUAGACCCGAAACCCGGUGAUCUAGCCAUGGGCAGGUUGAAGGUUGGGUAACACUAACUGGAGGACCGAACCGACUAAUGUUGAAAAAUUAGCGGAUGACUUGUGGCUGGGGGUGAAAGGCCAAUCAAACCGGGAGAUAGCUGGUUCUCCCCGAAAGCUAUUUAGGUAGCGCCUCGUGAAUUCAUCUCCGGGGGUAGAGCACUGUUUCGGCAAGGGGGUCAUCCCGACUUACCAACCCGAUGCAAACUGCGAAUACCGGAGAAUGUUAUCACGGGAGACACACGGCGGGUGCUAACGUCCGUCGUGAAGAGGGAAACAACCCAGACCGCCAGCUAAGGUCCCAAAGUCAUGGUUAAGUGGGAAACGAUGUGGGAAGGCCCAGACAGCCAGGAUGUUGGCUUAGAAGCAGCCAUCAUUUAAAGAAAGCGUAAUAGCUCACUGGUCGAGUCGGCCUGCGCGGAAGAUGUAACGGGGCUAAACCAUGCACCGAAGCUGCGGCAGCGACGCUUAUGCGUUGUUGGGUAGGGGAGCGUUCUGUAAGCCUGUGAAGGUGUGCUGUGAGGCAUGCUGGAGGUAUCAGAAGUGCGAAUGCUGACAUAAGUAACGAUAAAGCGGGUGAAAAGCCCGCUCGCCGGAAGACCAAGGGUUCCUGUCCAACGUUAAUCGGGGCAGGGUGAGUCGACCCCUAAGGCGAGGCCGAAAGGCGUAGUCGAUGGGAAACAGGUUAAUAUUCCUGUACUUGGUGUUACUGCGAAGGGGGGACGGAGAAGGCUAUGUUGGCCGGGCGACGGUUGUCCCGGUUUAAGCGUGUAGGCUGGUUUUCCAGGCAAAUCCGGAAAAUCAAGGCUGAGGCGUGAUGACGAGGCACUACGGUGCUGAAGCAACAAAUGCCCUGCUUCCAGGAAAAGCCUCUAAGCAUCAGGUAACAUCAAAUCGUACCCCAAACCGACACAGGUGGUCAGGUAGAGAAUACCAAGGCGCUUGAGAGAACUCGGGUGAAGGAACUAGGCAAAAUGGUGCCGUAACUUCGGGAGAAGG